RNAcentral lists this ribosomal RNA (245 nucleotides) under uncultured bacterium. RNAcentral describes it as "partial 16S ribosomal RNA". It matches the Rfam family "Bacterial small subunit ribosomal RNA", at positions 524 to 768 of the family's 1533-position model. The record is from RNAcentral.
UACGAAGGACCCGAGCGUUAUCCGGAUUCAUUGGGUUUAAAGGGUGCGUAGGCGGAACGAUAAGUCAGUGGUGAAAUCCUGCAGCUUAACUGCAGAACUGCCAUUGAUACUGUUGUUCUUGAAUGCAACUGAUGUGGGCGGAAUGUGCCAUGUAGUGGUGAAAUACUUAGAUAUGGCACAGAACACCGAUUGCGAAGGCAGCUCACAAAAUUGUUAUUGACGCUGAUGCACGAAAGCGUGGGGAU